Molecule: non-coding RNA, 1511 nt
Organism: Procambarus clarkii (red swamp crayfish)
Lineage: Eukaryota; Metazoa; Arthropoda; Malacostraca; Decapoda; Cambaridae
Source: RefSeq, a predicted model, not a curated record
AUGAUGCAGUAGUGAAGGUGCAGCAACACAGGCAGCGUGGUGAACAUGAUGCAGUAGUGAAGGUGCAGCAACACAGGCAGCGUGGUGAACAUGAUGCAGUAGUGAAGGUGUAGCAGUACAGGCAGCGUGGUGAACAUGAUGCAGUAGUGAAGGUGCAGCAACACAGGCAGCGUGGUGAACAUGAUGCAGUAGUGAAGGUGCAGCAACACAGGCAGCGUGGUGAACAUGAUGCAGUAGUGAAGGUGCAGCAACACAGGCAGCGUGGUGAACAUGAUGCAGUAGUGAAGGUGCAGCAACACAGGCAGCGUGGUGAACAUGAUGCAGUAGUGAAGGUGCAGCAACACAGGCAGCGUGGUGUACAUGAUGCAGUAGUGAAGGUGUAGCAGUACAGGCAGCGUGGUGAACAUGAUGCAGUAGUGAAGGUGCAGCAACACAGGCAGCGUGGUGAACAUGAUGCAGUAGUGAAGGUGCAGCAACACAGGCAGCGUGGUGUACAUGAUGCAGUAGUGAAGGUGUAGCAGUACAGGCAGCGUGGUGAACAUGAUGCAGUAGUGAAGGUGCAGCAACACAGGCAGCGUGGUGUACAUGAUGCAGUAGUGAAGGUGUAGCAGUACAGGCAGCGUGGUGAACAUGAUGCAGUAGUGAAGGUGCAGCAACACAGGCAGCGUGGUGAACAUGAUGCAGUAGUGAAGGUGUAGCAGUACAGGCAGCGUGGUGAACAUGAUGCAGUAGUGAAGGUGCAGCAACACAGGCAGCGUGGUGACCAUGAUGCAGUAGUGAAGGUGUAGCAGUACAGGCAGCGUGGUGAACAUGAUGCAGUAGUGAAGGUGCAGCAACACAGGCAGCGUGGUGAACAUGAUGCAGUAGUGAAGGUGCAGCAACACAGGCAGCGUGGUGAACAUGAUGCAGUAGUGAAGGUGUAGCAGUACAGGCAGCGUGGUGAACAUGAUGCAGUAGUGAAGGUGCAGCAACACAGGCAGCGUGGUGAACAUGAUGCAGUAGUGAAGGUGCAGCAACACAGGCAGCGUGGUGAACAUGAUGCAGUAGUGAAGGUGAAGCAGUACAGGCAGCGUGGUGAACAUGAUGCAGUAGUGAAGGUGAAGCAACACAGGCAGCGUGGUGAACAUGAUGCAGUAGUGAAGGUGCAGCAACACAGGCAGCGUGGUGAACAUGAUGCAGUAGUGAAGGUGCAGCAACACAGGCAGCGUGGUGUACAUGAUGCAGUAGUGAAGGUGUAGCAGUACAGGCAGCGUGGUGAACAUGAUGCAGUAGUGAAGGUGCAGCAACACAGGCAGCGUGGUGUACAUGAUGCAGUAGUGAAGGUGUAGCAGUACAGGCAGCGUGGUGAACAUGAUGCAGUAGUGAAGGUGCAGCAACACAGGCAGCGUGGUGAACAUGAUGCAGUAGUGAAGGUGCAGCAACACAGGCAGCGUGGUGAACAUGAUGCAGUAGUGAAGGUGCAGCAACACAGGCAGCGUGGUGAACAUGAUGCAGUAGUGAAGGUGCAGCAA